CCUACGGGGGGCAGCAGUGGGGAAUAUUGGACAAUGGGGGGAACCCUGAUCCAGCCAUGCCGCGUGUGUGAAGAAGGCCCUCGGGUUGUAAAGCACUUUCAGUGAGGAAGAACGCCUGGUGGUUAAUACCCAUCAGGAAAGACAUCACUCACAGAAGAAGCACCGGCUAACUCCGUGCCAGCAGCCGCGGUAAUACGGAGGGUGCGAGCGUUAAUCGGAAUUACUGGGCGUAAAGCGCGCGUAGGUGGCUUGAUAAGCCGGUUGUGAAAGCCCCGGGCUCAACCUAGGAACGGCAUCCGGAACUGUCAAGCUAGAGUGCAGGAGAGGAAGGUAGAAUUCCCGGUGUAGCGGUGAAAUGCGUAGAGAUCGGGAGGAAUACCAGUGGCGAAGGCGGCCUUCUGGACUGACACUGACACUGAGGUGCGAAAGCGUGGGUAGCAAACAGGAUUAGAUACCCUAGUAGUC
This 465-nucleotide ribosomal RNA is filed under the name Vreelandella stevensii. RNAcentral describes it as "partial 16S ribosomal RNA". It matches the Rfam family "Bacterial small subunit ribosomal RNA", at positions 338 to 795 of the family's 1533-position model. Lineage: Bacteria; Pseudomonadati; Pseudomonadota; Gammaproteobacteria; Oceanospirillales; Halomonadaceae. The record is from RNAcentral.